GGAGAGUUGGCAGAGUGGCUGAACGCACUUCCUUGCUAAGGAAGCAACGGACUUAAUCGUUCGUUCGCGGGUUCGAAUCCCGUGCUCUCCU
RNAcentral lists this transfer RNA (91 nucleotides) under Limosilactobacillus reuteri. RNAcentral describes it as "tRNA-Ser". It matches the Rfam family "tRNA". From Rfam's summary of the family: Transfer RNA (tRNA) molecules are approximately 80 nucleotides in length. Their secondary structure includes four short double-helical elements and three loops (D, anti-codon, and T loops). The record is from RNAcentral. Lineage: Bacteria; Bacillati; Bacillota; Bacilli; Lactobacillales; Lactobacillaceae.